AUCACAUUGCAAAGUUCCUUAAUCCUCCUCCAGCUCCUCCGCCCCGAGAUCCUCCUCGUCGGCCGCUGCAUCCUGAUACUGCUGGUACUCGGAGACCAGGUCGUUCAUGUUGCUCUCCGCCUCGGUGAACUCCAUCUCAUCCAUUCCUUCGCCUGUGUACCAAUGCAGGAAGGCCUUCCGCCGGAACAUGACGGUGAACUGCUCCGAGACACGUUUGAACAUCUCCUGGAUGGACGUGGAAUUCCCCAUGAAGGUGGCGGACAUGGUC
RNAcentral lists this long non-coding RNA (268 nucleotides) under Phoenix dactylifera (date palm). Its description in RNAcentral is "long non-coding RNA (PDAC_LNC004909)". The record is from RNAcentral. Lineage: Eukaryota; Viridiplantae; Streptophyta; Magnoliopsida; Arecales; Arecaceae.